GUGUAGCCUACACCUGCACCACAGCAGAUCUAACAGGGGACUCAGCGGUGUAACAUCUGAUUGAGGCUCUGCAGGGGCGGUGUGUGUUGUGUGUGUGUAGCCUUUUUACAGUAGAGCAGACCCGCCAUUUCCCUCCCUGGUGGUCUUUUUUUUCUUUCAUAGCGUUUUAAAGCGGAGCAGCGGCGGCAGCGGCGGCAGCGGCAAGAGGAGGGGAGGAGAAGAAGAAGCGGCGGCGGCGGCGGGCGGCGGCGACGACUGGCGGAGCGGCGGAGGCAGGCAGGCAGGCAGGCAGGCAGGAGGAGAGACGCAGGGAUCCGGUGUGCCACAUCGGGAUGAGAGCGAGAAACAGACCCGGGUCGGAUGAGUCAGCGAGUGGACCCUGCAAUCACGGCAUCCCUGAAAUUUGAACGAAGCCGAGCGGUGCAACAAAAAAGAAACAAACUAACAUUUUUUGACUGUUGUUGUUGUCAGAUUCCGCUUCUUUUUAUUCCGCCCUCCCCUGGCCCGCGUCUGUCAUAGCCUAGUUUUGAUUUUUUUUUCUUCUAACAUUACCAAGGUGGGAAAAGGUGGGGGUCCAUUAAGGUUGCGGAGGAGGUGGAGGUUUUAUUUUCUUUCUUUAUUCAAAGCCCGAAGAUAAACCCAGAAUUGCAAAGUCUUUUGUUGCAUUCAGUGUGUGAAGAUGUCGGGGCAGAGCAUUACGGACAGGAUAACUGCAGCCCAGCACAGUGUAACGGGAUCCGCCGUGUCGAAAACAGUAUGCAAGGCCACCACUCACGAAGUAAUGGGUCCGAAAAAGAAACAUUUGGACUAUCUGAUCCACUGCACCAACGAGAUGAACGUGAAUAUCCCCCAGCUGGCUGAUUCGCUGUUCGAGAGGACCACCAACACCAGCUGGGUGGUGGUGUUCAAGUCACUCAUCACCACACACCACCUCAUGGUCUACGGCAACGAGCGUUUUGUCCAGUACCUGGCUUCAAGGAAUACACUAUUCAACCUCAGUAAUUUUUUGGACAAAAGUGGGUUACAAGGUUAUGACAUGUCCACAUUUAUCAGGAGGUAUAGUCGAUACCUGAAUGAGAAAGCCGUUUCAUACAGACAGGUCGCCUUUGACUUCACAAAAGUUAAACGCGGAGUGGACGGCGUGAUGAGGACAAUGAACACAGAGAAGCUGCUCAAGACUAUCCCCAUUAUUCAGAACCAGAUGGAUGCCCUCCUCGAUUUCAAUGUCAAUGCCAACGAGCUGACUAAUGGAGUCAUCAACGCAGCCUUCAUGCUCCUCUUCAAAGACUCCAUCAGGCUCUUCGCUGCGUAUAACGAAGGCAUUAUCAACCUGCUUGAGAAAUACUUUGACAUGAAGAAGACUCAGUGUAAAGAAGGUUUGGACAUUUACAAGAAGUUUCUCACCCGGAUGACGCGGAUAUCCGAGUUCCUCAAAGUAGCGGAGCAGGUGGGCAUUGAUCGAGGAGACAUCCCAGACCUUUCACAGUUCACAGUUUGUGCUCCCAGUAGCCUUCUCGAAGCUCUGGAGCAGCACUUGGCGUCUUUAGAGGGCAAGAAGGUCAAAGACUCCACUGCAGCCAGCAGGGCCAGCACUCUAUCAAAUGCUGUGUCAUCACUGGCCAGCACGGGGAUGUCUUUCACUAAAGUGGAUGAGCGGGAGAAGCAGGCAGCUCUCGAAGAGGAGCAGGCUCGACUGAAAGCUCUGAAGGAACAGAGGCUCAAAGAGCUUUCCAAGAGGCCCUCCUUUGCCACCACUGAUACAUCACCGAUCUCCACCACUGGGGGCACUAUUAGCACAGCACCAGCCAUCGACCUCUUCUCUACACCCAGCUGCUCUAACGGUGCAGUGAAGAUGGAGAGUGACCUUUUUGAUCUGCAGUCAGGGUUCCAGCCCUCAAUGCAAUCAGCUUCAACAGGGCUUCCAGUGGCAACAGCGUGGUCAGAUCCUUUCACCUCUGCUGAAGCUGGAGAUGAAUCCAUGCCAAACCUUAACCCUUUCCUCUCAAAACUCGUUGUCGAUGCCACUCACUUACCUGUCGUGUCUUCAGACGGUGUUAGCUUUUCCUCUAGGACACCUGGUCAUGAAAUGUUUGGUGAUCGUUACAAUCCCUUUAUUGACACAAACUCAUCCGUUUCAACCAAUUACAAACGCACAGUGCGGAUAGAACACUCCAUCUCAGACUCCUUCUGUGGUCCAGUGUCCAUUGCCCAGCACCUCCCACACCAGGCUCCCUUCCCCACUGAGCCCUCUACUGUAGCAGGUCUAUUCAGAGGAUACUCGACGCCACAGGCUCCUCCACAACAGUCAGCAGGGGGACUCCAAGUGGACUUUGAGUCCGUUUUUGGAGCCAAGGCCGCAGGCAGCAACAUCCUCAAUUCUGAUGAUAUUUCUGGGGGCAUCCUGAAACCGACUCUCGCCGGCUCCAACCAGGCGCCCGGUCAGCUGCCAGAUAAGCUGGUGUCGGAUGACCUCGACUCCUCCCUGGCCAACCUUGUCGGCAACCUCGGCAUCGGGAACGGCAUGAUGAAAAAUGACAUGCACUGGAGCCAGCCGGGGGAGAAGAGGAUGACCGGCGGCACCAACUGGCAGCCCAAAGCAGCACCGAGCACGACCUGGAACCCUGUUUCCAUGCCAACGUCAGUCAUGGCCUUCCCUGCCACCACGCCCACAAGCAUGAUGGGAUACGGCAUGCCUCCACAAAUGGGCUCUAUGGGGAUGAUGAAUCCACCCACCAUGAUGUACUCCCAGCCGGUGAUGAGGCCACCCAACCCCUUUGGCUCCGUGUCGAGUGCUCAGGUGGGUGCACAGCCGUCCGACCACGCCGCCGAGCGGACGCACAAUGAAAUGCAGUUCAUGUAAUUUGAAGAAAUGUGUCUCUCGGAAGACGAAGCACUUAGCAGCAAAGCGUUGUCCUCGUUGCAGUCUAACUCUUCAGAAAAACAUUCACACACACACACACACACACACACACACACACACACACACAC
RNA transcript from Etheostoma spectabile (orangethroat darter), 2988 nucleotides. It is a transcript of the gene named phosphatidylinositol binding clathrin assembly protein b, with no coding region annotated. The transcript is spliced from 24 exons. NCBI's taxonomy places the organism in Eukaryota, Metazoa, Chordata, Actinopteri, Perciformes, Percidae. The record is from RefSeq and is a predicted model, not a curated record.